UUUAACUCUUCGUCUUAUUUAAAUUUUUUGUGAUUAAUAUUUUUAUGUUCACUAGAUGAUAAUAUAUGAAUAACACUUUACACAUGACUAAUUUCUUUGAUCUUUUUUUAUAAAAUUUUUAAAUAAGACGGAUGGUUAAA
This 140-nucleotide microRNA precursor is filed under the name Oryza brachyantha (malo sina). RNAcentral describes it as "MIR812 microRNA precursor family". It matches the Rfam family "MIR812 microRNA precursor family", at positions 33 to 173 of the family's 205-position model. Lineage: Eukaryota; Viridiplantae; Streptophyta; Magnoliopsida; Poales; Poaceae. The record is from Rfam by way of RNAcentral.